GAUGAAGAACGCAGUGAAAUGCGAUAAGUAAUGUGAAUUGCAGAAUUCAGUGAAUCAUCGAAUCUUUGAACGCACAUUGCGCCCGCCAGUAUUCUGGCGGGCAUGCCUGUCCGAGCGUCAUUUCAACCAUCAAGCCCCGGGCUUGUGUUGGGGACCUGCGUCCGACGCAGGCCCUGAAAACCAGUGGCGGGCUCGCUGUCCACACCGAGCGUAGUAACUAACCUCGCUAUGGAGUGGCGCGGGCGCCUGCCGUAAAACCCCCAAUUUCACAAGGUUGACCUCGGAUCAGGUAGGAAUACCCGCUGAACUUAAGCAUAUCAUAAGCGGAGGA
Molecule: unclassified non-coding RNA, 331 nt
Filed under: soil metagenome
Description: partial contains 5.8S ribosomal RNA, internal transcribed spacer 2, and large subunit ribosomal RNA
Rfam family: 5.8S ribosomal RNA (bases 1-120)
Source: RNAcentral